Molecule: long non-coding RNA, 474 nt
Organism: Monodelphis domestica (gray short-tailed opossum)
Lineage: Eukaryota; Metazoa; Chordata; Mammalia; Didelphimorphia; Didelphidae
Source: RefSeq, a predicted model, not a curated record
GGGCGCAGAUGUUCACCUGCGAACACCAACCCUCCCAGCAGGGCCCGCGCGAACAAAGACACACAGCCAGGAAACUGGCACCCUCGCGGGGCUCAAGAACGAACGCCGCCGCCGCCGCCGCCGCGCUCUCGCGCUCUGCCUAGUGCUGCGACAGUGAAGCUGUUUGUUAAACGGAGAGAAGUACCCAGACAUACUUUAGGCAUGUAUGCGGAUACUGACCUGGACUUGUGCCUGGACUAGAGGUGGGAGCCUCAAAAAUGUCUACAAAAGGGAAAAAGGAAAGAAAGAAUAAAAAGAAACACACAUUUUGGAUAUUAAUCACAUGUGAAAAAACAAGCCAACCCUAACAAAUCGCGGGAUCUCAAGGGCUUUUGACUGGCAAACUGAGUGCAUGCUCGGGAUUCCCUGUAUCCGGCCUAAUUCCUGACCUUUUACAUUGGGAUGGGACUUCUUUUAUAAAGAUUUUAACUUGUA